Molecule: transfer RNA, 67 nt
Filed under: Bacteroidales bacterium
Lineage: Bacteria; Pseudomonadati; Bacteroidota; Bacteroidia; Bacteroidales
Description: tRNA-Phe
Rfam family: tRNA
About the family: Transfer RNA (tRNA) molecules are approximately 80 nucleotides in length. Their secondary structure includes four short double-helical elements and three loops (D, anti-codon, and T loops). Further hydrogen bonds mediate the characteristic L-shaped molecular structure. tRNAs have two regions of fundamental functional importance: the anti-codon, which is responsible for specific mRNA codon recognition, and the 3' end, to which the tRNAs corresponding amino acid is attached (by aminoacyl-tRNA synthetases). tRNAs cope with the degeneracy of the genetic code in two manners: having more than one tRNA (with a specific anti-codon) for a particular amino acid; and 'wobble' base-pairing, i.e. permitting non-standard base-pairing at the 3rd anti-codon position.
Source: RNAcentral
GGUAAUAUAAUUCAAUUGGACGAAUUACUACAAAGUAGUUGUAAGGGUUCGACUCCCUUUAUUGCCA